Molecule: long non-coding RNA, 626 nt
Organism: Gossypium raimondii (Peruvian cotton)
Lineage: Eukaryota; Viridiplantae; Streptophyta; Magnoliopsida; Malvales; Malvaceae
Exons: 2
Source: RefSeq, a predicted model, not a curated record
GUAUAUAAGGGAAAUUUACUGCUUGUGGGUCUUGAGAUAUUUCAUUGGGUAAACCAUUUCUAAAAGCCCAAAAAUAAUCUCACUCUUGGCCAUAAGGAUAUUGCUUCUUCUGCUACCAGUGUCAAUGAUUCCUCAAAAACCAGGCACCAUUUGUAUGUAUGUAUAUAUGUAUGGUGUUGAAUUUGUGUGUGCAUGUUGUUAUGUGAUCAGCUGGUGAACAUACAGCAGAUUAUGAGUUGAAGGCAGACAUGGCUUGGGCUUGUGGUGGUGGUGGUGCUGAUUGCAGUAAGAUCCAAAUGAACCAGCCUUGUUAUUUCCCUAAAACCAUGCUUCUUAUGCAUUCAAUGAUUACUACCAAAAAUUCAAGCACAAAGGUGGUUCUUGCAAUUUCAGAGGAGCUGCCAUGGUUAUAAAAAUUGCAGAUAUGUGUUUAUUCCUUGAUCCACAAGCAAUUGAAUUCAGGAGAUUCAGAGAUGUUCAUCUUUCUUAGCUUUAAUUGAAAAAAUAUAUAUAUGUUGCGAUUUUAUUUUCGAAUAUAAGGGAGAUCAUAAAUUCUUGUACGAAUCAUUAUACGAACCAAUUGAAUUUUCUUAUGGAAUUAAUUGAUCAUAAAUUGGCAAUUAAAA